UCCGCAUCCUCUUAGCAGAAAGGAGGAAUUUUCCAUUUUCAACUAACAAAGCUGCAAAAGUCCAAGGAAACCAAAAAAAGGAAAAGAAAAAAUGGAAUGGGUUCAGUAUUAUAGACCAAAAUAUGGCAGACAAUAUACUGUUCUUAAGGUUUCAAUUUAGUAUGUAACAUGAUCAUAAACACAUAUUCAAGCCAUUUCAACAAAUCAAGAAAGCAAUUAAUGAUGAAUUGAGAAGAUAUGCAAACACUGGAGAAACUGACAUCAGAAAUUAUAAUUUAAUAGAAUGAAAAAUAUUUCCAAAUAUAUAAAUGUGUAAUAGUUUUCAACCCCAAGUAGUGCAGAUACCUAAACUUAUUUCACCUGAUCAACAUCCAAAAAUUUAUAAUGUUUAUUUAAGUGGCAAAGAAACCUGGUUAAGUGUGCCCCCCCAAGUAAACAAUUAUCAGAUAAUAAGAUCCUAGACUCCUAAUGGGGAAGGGAAACAAAUAACAUAUGGGAACUAAAAUUAUGAAACUAUCCGAGUUUCAUACUCAGAACACUAAGUAAAUGCCGAUUUAAA
Arachis ipaensis is the source of this 559-nucleotide non-coding RNA. NCBI's taxonomy places the organism in Eukaryota, Viridiplantae, Streptophyta, Magnoliopsida, Fabales, Fabaceae. The record is from RefSeq and is a predicted model, not a curated record.